AAAAAUAAAAAUUAAAAAAAUAAACUACUUCUCAAUCUAAGAAAAAAAGAAAAGAACACUAAUGAAUGCUUUAGCUCAUCUUUAAGAUGAAUUUGUCAAUAAAAUAUACUUUCAGGUUCAAAUAUGCAAUUAUAUAUGGCAAAUCAAUUAGUACAAAUAGAGGGAUUUAGAAAAUAGACUUUUGUGAUAAUAGGAAAAUUUAAUUGCCUAGUAAAAAUAACUCAUCUUUGUGGAUGAGAAUUUUGGUCAACACUCUUUUUAAAAAAUCAUAUAUAAGGAUUUAAAACUAUUUCUCAGGAGAGCUAUUAUGGAAGCUUUAAAAGGAAUCUCCUUAUUCUCAUAUAUAUUUCCUGAUCUGUUUUUCUUUCUGCUGUUAAAAUUAAGUGGAUGCUGUAUUGAAACUUAUCCUCAAUAAUUCUUAUUCUCCCCAGAAUUAUUCAUGCCAUAGUCUAUUUUUCUCCAUUUAUUAUACUAAUUUGCUUUUAAUUUGACAGUUUUCCUCAUGUUUCAAUGCAUUGUUUUGACAGAGAGUUACUCAUCAAGAUUUUACUUGAAAAAGAAAAUGAUAAUUCAUGUUCACAUUCUAAACUUCUCUUUAGUCUUUCUUUUUAUCCUAUAGUUCUGUGAGAAUUUCAGUGCCAGAGACUAUAACUGACAAGAAAAUGAAUUAAACUUUAUAAAUUGAUCUAGCUAAAGAGGGCUCAUUGGAUACUAAAAAUUAAACUGAAAACAAUUUUUUUUAAAAAAUAGAGAAAUGUUAAAAACACCCCACAACAGAUGGGCAAUAUGAUUUAUUAAAAAAAAAACCCAAUAUUUUUAUGCUUAACCAGCAGCAAGCUAACUUAUCAUUUACUCUUGUGUUUUCUCAUGGCAUCUAUAACCUGCAUAGGCUUGCAAGUAAUAUUAGUUUGCUUUAAUCUGCACUCUGCCUCCUCCCUUAUUUGCAUACCCUCCUUAAUAAAUGAGUUUUAUUGUUUUCACUCCUUCUCUUUCCUAUAUUUUGUCUGUCUCUUCUAUUGUUUUUUGGUUUCAAUUAACUAUUUAAACAUUUUUUAUUAUAGUUUAUUUACAAUGUCCUUUCAAUUUCUGCUAUACAGCAAAGUGACUCAGUUAUAAAUAUAUAUCUAUAUAUAUAUUCUUUUUCCACAUUAUCCUCCAUCAUGUUCCACACAAGGAAUUACAUGCAGUCACUUGUGAUGGAACAUGAUGGAAGAUAAGAAAAAGAAUGCAUGUAUAUAUGUAUAACUGGGUCACUUGGAUAUAGAGCAGACAUUGACAUAACAUUGUAAAUCAACUAUGAUAACAUUUAAAAAAAAAUUAAAAAAAGAUAGUGGAGGACAGACCUAGCCAGGAAAUUUCUGCCCCAUUCUGAGUCCCCUAUCUUCUUCUUAAGUAGAGCAACUGAGGAUGGAAUCUGAGGUAGAAUGGAACUCCACAGAGGAGCUCACAGAAUAGAACCAAAUAGCCUCUUCUCCCUUACUCAAGAUUGUGAAGGAAAAUGAUUGAAAGCACUAUAAUUUUUGAGUGGGAGGUUAUGAAUGCAAUAGAAAAUACAGUUGACCCUUGAGCAACACAGGGAUUGGGGGUGUUGAACCUCUGAGCAAUUGAAAAUAGGAGUGUUAACUUUAUAGUUGGCCUCUCCUAUGCCAGGUUUUGCAUGCUUGGAUUCAAGCAAACCUAGAUCACGUAAUACCAGAGUAUUUAUUAUUGAGAAAAAAAUCAGCAAUAAGUGGACUUAUGCAGUUCAAACUUGUGUUGUUCAAAGGCCAGUUGUAUUGCUUCUAACUCCAAGUUUAAUUUAUGAUCUUUGUGUUUAUAGUGAUGAUUUAUUUAAUUUUGGAAUGCUUUUGGAUCAUAAUAAUCAUGCUAAAACCCGUAUUAUUAUGAUAGAGACAUGUAAUAUUCCUUUGUGUGAAUUAUAAAAAACUUAUUCCAGUACAUAUCAUUUUAUUUAAAAUUCUUAUGAAAUGGUUAGUACAAGUUCUACAGAAUUUGGAUGGGAUUUUAACAUGACCGUAUUUUGAAAAAUUAUUCUUAAAUGAGGCAAUUAUCCUAUUAAGUGCAUAGCUGCUAUAUUACCACUUCUUUGAAGCACUGUUCUGGACAAUGAAUGGUGAAAAUUAUUCUCAUUCAUAAAGAUCAAUUUAAAUUUAAUGGUAUGACCAUCCCUUUUACUUUAAAGAAAACCACUACUUAUUGGAAACAUUUAGACAAAAAAAAUUACUUCACACAAAGAAGUUAAACACUAUUUAAUGUUUUAUUACAAUACUGGGAACAUUAAAUAAGGAAUAAUAGAAAUAAAACAGGGGGGAAGGUCUGUUAGCAGUCUGGACUUUGUUCAUGCAAAAGACUGUCUGAAAUUUAUGCUCAAGUUACUAAGUACCAAAGUAUAUGACACCUGAAUGUGAGAGUGUCUCAUUUAAUUCUUAAAAAAAAAAAAAUCUGCUUUAAAAAAAUUAGUUGGGCAAAUACCUAAUAAAUAUUUUCUUCCUGAAAAUAUAGAACUUUUGUUUGUUUGCCCAGAAGUCCUGUCUUUUCAGCUAGAAACUGUGCCUUCCCUCACUUCAUUGCCUUAGAGAUGCUAUUUUACUGCAACAGUUGAUUCAUUCAUACUGCAAAUGUUAUAGCACCCCCUAGUCUUGGCCUCAGACCAACUGGUCUAGUUAUGGUUACAUGGUCAGAAUUUGCCAGGGUGUUCCUUCUCUAGCAUUUUCUGGUUACUAUGUGCAUUUAUUGUGGUUAAAGUUUUAAUGUGUAAAAAGAUCAACAGUUGCAAAAGACACGUGCUUUAUCAGCUAGAAGAGUAAAGGUGGAUUCUUUGGUGGAGGGUCGUGUGGAGAGGGAGAGUAGAAAGAAUGGGAGAGAGAGAAAGGGAAUUCGAGCAGAAGAAUGAUGGGGAGGGUAAGAAGGCACAGAGGGAGGGAGAGAGGGAGAGAGAGAGCGCAAAUGAGCUAUUAAAUUGGUCCAGAAAGUCGGCUUAGAAGAGAGAUGGAUAGUCCCAAUGUCAUUUGAAUUAUUUUGAAUCAUUUGAAUUCUUGGUUCUCUGCUUUGCCUGUAGCUUGGUGGUUCUGCAAGAUACUCCAAUGUUUUACCAAUUAAAAACCCCUUUAAAAUUUGCUCUUACUGAAUAUUUGGCAUUGCCACCAAACUAUUCUUGAUAACUACAAAUUAUAUCUUAUUUUACAGGUCUCAUUUAGAGAGGUGUCAAUUUGAAGACAGGCAAACUUGUAAAUAUGAUCUAUGUCCAAAUGCAAAAAUCCUGAUAAAGAUAUUUAAAAUCAGUAUGGUUAACUUUUAGAGACAGCAGAUAGUCAAAGUCAAACUGUUGACUCUAUUAAGGGAUACUUAGAAACCUUUUUGACUUUGAGGCUUAGGCUUACUUUAGUGAGUUAGACAGGCCAUUGAUCAAAUAAGUUUAUCUAUGUGGUUUGAUUACUCAGUUUACCUCACGCAGACCUAAGUAUCACAGUGAUUUUGAAUGUCUUAAUAGAAUCGCCAAGUUGUCAAAUGAAUUUUGCUCAUUUCCCUACAUAAAUCCAGUUCAUUACUGUCUGUAAAACAAGCUUUUAUAAUCCACCUCCAAACCUCCUGUCAUUUAAAUCCUUCACUGUAAAAGCAGUGUUCUCAGUUCAGUACUGACAUGAAGACAUAGUCCCUGACAUAUUGCAACUAUUUUUUUUCUAAUUAAGGAGGCGAAUAACAUGGGUCUCGUAAUGCUGAAUGACAUACCGAAGAUACAGAUACUCUCUCUGAGGAUUUAAGGAUGCGUAGAAAGCCAGAGAUCUGGGUCUGCCUUCUUGGAGAUCCUCACUAUUGUCUUGGCUAGAGACACCAUUCAGAAAAUAAGGAAAUAUAACCUCUUGGGUAGUCCAGCGACCUCUGUUUAUAAUUCUACAGUUCAAGGCUGCUCGUUGUUGUUCUUAUUCUUGUUCUUCUUCUCCUCCCCACCCCUCCUUCUCUUCCUCCUCCUCCUUCUUAUUUUCAGAAUGAUGGCUGUGCAGAAUAUAGCCUGUGGCGUGUGAAUUGUGCCAGAGCUCUGCCUCUUGCAAGCAGGCUGAGGACCAUGUACGUUGGGCAGAUUGCCGGUCUUUCAAAGGGACCCUCCUUUAGCAGGUGGAACAGAAUGACAAGAGUCACUCUGGCCCCUUGUAAUAGUUUCCCAGUUUCCUUGACUUAUUUUUUCAUCAAGCGCUAUACCCAUAAGUCUCUCACUGCCCCUGAGCUCGGUCUUGCUGCAUUGUCGCUUUGCUUGCUUACACUUUCCUUCCUUCAGCCUGUGCUCAUGGCUUCCAGCUGAUGACAUGCUCAUUCUCCCCUUUUUCUGACAUGGGUUCCCACCCAGCUCUGGUGUCCCCACUCUUCUGAGCUUCAGAGCUUAAGUCUCUUAGGGAUGGUAAUUCAUGUGGCCCUUUGCUUUCUUGGAGAAAUUUAAAUUCAUUUUCAAGAAUUUAAAUUCAUUUUGUUUAAAUUCACUUACAUCUCUUUCAGAACUAUGUUGUUGAUGUACAGAUUAUAAGAAAUUAUUGGGAGUUCCCAUCAUGGCUCAGUGGUCAGCGAAUCCAAUUAGGAACCAUGAGGUUGCAGGUUCGAUCCCUGGCCUCGCUCAGUGGGUUAAGGAUCCAGCGUUGCCGUGAGCUAUGGCAUAGGUUGCAGACACGGCCACGGCUCAGAUCCCGCAUUGCUGUGGCUCUGACGUAGGCCGGCGGCUACAGCUCCAAUUCGACCCCUAGCCUGGGAACCUCCAAAUGCUGCAGGAGCGGCCCAAGAAAUGGAAAAAA
Molecule: long non-coding RNA, 4778 nt
Filed under: Sus scrofa (pig)
Lineage: Eukaryota; Metazoa; Chordata; Mammalia; Artiodactyla; Suidae
Description: lncRNA (ENSSSCG00030055257.1)
Source: RNAcentral